UGUAGGAGCCGGCUUGCUGGCGAUUGCAGCGUCACAUCAACAUCUAAUCGAAUGUUGCACUGCCAUCGCCAGUAAGCCGGCUCCUACA
This 88-nucleotide unclassified non-coding RNA is filed under the name Pseudomonas migulae. Lineage: Bacteria; Pseudomonadati; Pseudomonadota; Gammaproteobacteria; Pseudomonadales; Pseudomonadaceae. The record is from RNAcentral.